Molecule: ribosomal RNA, 438 nt
Filed under: uncultured bacterium
Lineage: Bacteria
Description: partial 16S ribosomal RNA
Rfam family: Bacterial small subunit ribosomal RNA
Source: RNAcentral
CUACGGGUGGCAGCAGUGGGGAAUAUUGCACAAUGGGGGGAACCCUGAUGCAGCGACGCCGCGUGAGUGAAGAAGUAUUUCGGUAUGUAAAGCUCUAUCAGCAGGGAAGAAAAUGACGGUACCUGACUAAGAAGCCCCGGCAACUACGUGCCAGCAGCCGCGGUAAUACGUAGGGGGCAAGCGUUAUCCGGAUUUACUGGGUGUAAAGGGAGCGUAGACGGUUAUGCAAGUCUGAAGUGAAAGCCCAAGGCUCAACCAUGGGACUGCUUUGGAUACUGUAAAACUGGAGUGCAGGAGAGGUAAGCGGAAUUCCUAGUGUAGCGGUGAAAUCCGUAGAUAUCUGGAGGAACAUCAGUGGCGAAGGCGACUAUCUGGCACAUAACUGACGCUGAGGAGCGAAAGCGUGGGUAGCAAACAGGAUUAGAUACCCCUGUAGUC